AAAACUCUCAGCGUUUCUAGGGCAUCAGCCUGAUGGAGGGGUGUCGGAAGUUGUGACGUGGGGACAGUGGCGCCCACUGUGUCCUGCCUCGUCUGAGCUCUUACGUUCAUUUCAUCUCCCUGAUGCCAGGUUGUAACUGGAGCUCCCGGAGGUCCACGUGCCCAGGUCGUCACGCAGCUUGGAGCUCACGGAUGCAGGGGACAGGUGUGCGGGAUGUGCGGAGGGGAAACUAAGGAAUGCUUUGGGAGAGCUGCAAGAAUUUAGUAAAACAAGACCCUCUGGGAGGCUCAGUGUUGAAGACCCAGCGCGGCUCUCUCUAGCAGAGCUGGAGUUCGUCGAGAUCACCGUCAUCGUGGUGGUGGUGAUGGUGAUGGUGGUGGUGAUCACGUAA
This 391-nucleotide long non-coding RNA is filed under the name Ursus maritimus (polar bear). RNAcentral describes it as "lncRNA (ENSUMAG00000002598.1)". Lineage: Eukaryota; Metazoa; Chordata; Mammalia; Carnivora; Ursidae. The record is from RNAcentral.